GUCCUUUAGAUUUAGAAUUUAAGGUUUAAUCUGCCCACUGAGUAAUUUAAUGGCCGCAGUAAUUUGACUGUGCAAAGGUAGCAUAAUCAUUAGUUUUUUAAUUAAAAGCUUGAAUGAAUGAUUGGACGAAAUAAAAUCUGUCUUUACAUAAAAUAUAGAAUUUAAUUUUUAAGUAAAAAAGCUUAAAUAUUAGUAAAAGACGAGAAGACCCUAUAGAUCUUUAUAUAAUAUAGUUUAUUUUUAAUUAAGAUUAUUUAAUGAAUUAGAUUUUAUUAUAUUUUAUUGGGGUAAUAAAAAGAUUAAUUAAAUUCUUUAUUUAUUUUACAAAAAUUCUUGAAUUAGUGAUCCUUUAUUAUGGAUUUAAGAUUAAGUUACCUUAGGGAUAACAGCGUAAUUUUUUUAGAGAGUUCUUAUCGAUAAAAAAGUUUGCGACCUCGAUGUUGGAUUAAAAAUUAAUUUUAGGUGUAGUAGUUUAAAAUUUUGGUCUGUUCGACCAUUGAAUUUUU
RNAcentral lists this ribosomal RNA (506 nucleotides) under Carabhydrus niger. RNAcentral describes it as "partial 16S ribosomal RNA". The stretch from base 382 to 506 matches the Rfam family "Bacterial large subunit ribosomal RNA", at positions 2473 to 2597 of the family's 2925-position model. Lineage: Eukaryota; Metazoa; Arthropoda; Insecta; Coleoptera; Dytiscidae. The record is from RNAcentral.